CGGGUCUGUCAGGUGAUAGCGGCGGAUUCGUUCCGUUGAGGAAAGUCCGUACUCCACAGGGCACAAAACCGGGGAAAUCCCGGGGCGGGGCAACUUGCCGGUAGGGCCACAGAAACAUACCGCCCGUCAGGGUAAGGGUGAAAAGGUGGUGUAAGAGACCACCGGCUGCUGCAGCAAUGCAGCGGUCAGGCAACCCCUUUUGGGAGCAAGGUCAAGCAGGCGCUUCAAUCGUUGGAACUGCCCCUUCCCUCACUGCAAUGUGAGAGCGCCGGGUAGACCGCUCAGAUAGAUUAUCACCCCGGUGAUUCUUCACCGGACAGAAUGCGGCUUAUAGACCAACCCGGCAA
RNAcentral lists this RNase P RNA (347 nucleotides) under Chloroflexota bacterium. Its description in RNAcentral is "Chloroflexi bacterium (anaerobic digester metagenome) RNase P RNA component class A". It matches the Rfam family "Bacterial RNase P class A". From Rfam's summary of the family: Ribonuclease P (RNase P) is a ubiquitous endoribonuclease, found in archaea, bacteria and eukarya as well as chloroplasts and mitochondria. Its best characterised activity is the generation of mature 5'-ends of tRNAs by cleaving the 5'-leader elements of precursor-tRNAs. Cellular RNase Ps are ribonucleoproteins. Lineage: Bacteria; Bacillati; Chloroflexota. The record is from RNAcentral.